CGGGCCGUAGUGUAACGGUAACAUGCGUGAUUCGGGUUCACGUGACUCCGGGUUCAAAUCCCGGCGGCCCGA
RNAcentral lists this transfer RNA (72 nucleotides) under Candidatus Vogelbacteria bacterium CG10_big_fil_rev_8_21_14_0_10_45_14. Its description in RNAcentral is "tRNA-Pro". It matches the Rfam family "tRNA". From Rfam's summary of the family: Transfer RNA (tRNA) molecules are approximately 80 nucleotides in length. Their secondary structure includes four short double-helical elements and three loops (D, anti-codon, and T loops). The record is from RNAcentral. Lineage: Bacteria; Candidatus Vogeliibacteriota.